CCUACGGGAUGCAGCAGUAGGGAAUAUUGCUCAAUGGGGGAAACCCUGAAGCAGCAACGCCGCGUGGAGGAUGAAGGUUUUCGGAUUGUACACUCCUUUUGUUAGAGAAGAUAAUGACGGUAUCUAACGAAUAACCACCGGCUAACUCCGUGCCAGCAGCCGCGGUAAUACGGAGGGUGCAAGCGUUACUCGGAAUCACUGGGCGUAAAGAGCGCGUAGGCGGGAUAGCAAGUCAGAUGUGAAAUCCUAUGGCUUAACCAUGGAACUGCAUUGGAAACUGUGAUUCUAGAGAAUGGGAGAGGUAGGUGGAAUGCGUGGUGUAGGGGUAAAAUCCGUAGAGAUCAAGAGGAAUACUCAUGGCGAAGGCGACCGGCUAGAACAUAACUGACGCUGAGGCGCGAAAGCGUGGGGAGCAAACAGGAUUAGAUACCCCAGUAGUC
This 440-nucleotide ribosomal RNA is filed under the name uncultured bacterium. Its description in RNAcentral is "partial 16S ribosomal RNA". It matches the Rfam family "Bacterial small subunit ribosomal RNA", at positions 338 to 795 of the family's 1533-position model. The record is from RNAcentral.